This 497-nucleotide ribosomal RNA is filed under the name uncultured bacterium. RNAcentral's name for it is "partial 16S ribosomal RNA". It matches the Rfam family "Bacterial small subunit ribosomal RNA", at positions 28 to 507 of the family's 1533-position model. The record is from RNAcentral.
GAUGAACGCUGGCGGCGUGCCUAAUACAUGCAAGUCGAGCGAACAGACGAGGAGCUUGCUCCUCUGACGUUAGCGGCGGACGGGUGAGUAACACGUGGAUAACCUACCUAUAAUACUGGGAUAACUUCGGGAAACCGGAGCUAAUACCGGAUAAUAUAUUGAACCGCAUGGGUCAAUAGUGAAAGACGGUUUUGCUGUCACUUAUAGAGGGAUCCGCGCCGCAUUAGCUAGUUGGUAAGGUAACGGGCUACCAAGGCGACGAUGCGUAGCCGACCUGAGAGGGUGAUCGGCCACACGGGAACUGAGACGCGGUCCAGACUCCUACGGGAGGCAGCAGUAGGGAAUCUGCCGCAAUGGGCGAAAGCAUGACGGAGCAACGCCGCGUGAGUGAUGAAGGUCUUCGGAUCGUAAAGCUCUGUUAUGAGGGAAGAACAAAUGUGUCAGUAACUAUGCACGUCUUGACGGUACCUAAUAAGAAAGCAACGGCUAACUACGUG